GAUGAACGCUGGCGGCGUGCCUAAUACAUGCAAGUCGAGCGAACAGACGAGGAGCUUGCUCCUCUGACGUUAGCGGCGGACGGGUGAGUAACACGUGGAUAACCUACCUAUAAGACUGGGAUAACUUCGGGAAACCGGAGCUAAUACCGGAUAAUAUAUUGAACCGCAUGGUUCAAUAGUGAAAGACGGUUUUGCUGUCACUUAUAGAUGGAUCCGCGCCGCAUUAGCUAGUUGGUAAGGUAACGGCUUACCAAGGCAAGGAUGCGUAGCCGACCUGAGAGGGUGAUCGGCCCAACUGGAACUGGGACCGGGUCCAAACUCCAAGGGGGGGCAGCAGUAGGAAAUCUUCCGCAAGGGCGAAAGGCUUACCGAAGCACCGCGGCGUGGGGAAGAAAGUCCUUCGGACGGAAAACCUCUGUUAUAAGGAAAAACCAAAGGUUAAAUUACUUAUGCAGGUCUGGACGUACCCUAACAAGAAAGCCACGGCUACCUCGG
Molecule: ribosomal RNA, 495 nt
Filed under: uncultured bacterium
Lineage: Bacteria
Description: partial 16S ribosomal RNA
Rfam family: Bacterial small subunit ribosomal RNA
Source: RNAcentral